Molecule: ribosomal RNA, 1003 nt
Filed under: uncultured bacterium EKHO-9
Lineage: Bacteria; Bacillati; Bacillota; Clostridia; Halanaerobiales
Description: bacterial SSU rRNA
Rfam family: Bacterial small subunit ribosomal RNA
Source: RNAcentral
CAGCAGCCGCGGUAAUACGUAGAUGGCGAGCGUUGUCCGGAAUCACUGGGCGUAAAGGGCACGCAAGCGGCAAAGCAAGUCAUAUGUGAAAACCUGGGGCUUAACUCCAGGCCUGCGUAUGAAACUGCUUUGCUAGAGGGCAGAAGAGGAGAGCGGAAUUCCUAGUGUAGCGGUGAAAUGCGUAGAUAUUAGGAAGAACACCAGUGGCGAAGGCGGCUCUCUGGUCUGACCCUGACGUUGAGGUGCGAAAGCUGGGGGAGCAAACGGGAUUAGAUACCCCGGUAGUCCCAGCUGUAAACGAUGGGCACUAGGUGUUGGUGGUUCGAAUCCAUCGGUGCCGGAGUUAACGCGAUAAGUGCCCCGCCUGGGGAGUAUGUUCGCAAGAAUGAAACUCAAAGGAAUUGACGGGGGCCCGCACAAGCGGUGGAGCAUGUGGUUUAAUUCGAAGCAACGCGAAGAACCUUACCGAGAUUUGACAUCCCGUGACCACCUGUGAAAGCAGGGAUUUGAUCUUUGAUCACACCGAGACAGGUUGUGCAUGGCUGUCGUCAGCUCGUGUCUUGAGAUGUUGGGUUAAGUCCCGCAACGAGCGCAACCCUUGUUCCUAGUUGCCAGCAUUUAGGUGGGGACUCUAGGGAGACUGCCCAGAGAAACUCGGAGGAAGGUGGGGAUGACGUCAAGUCAUCAUGCCCUUUAUGUCUCGGGCUACACACGUGCUACAAUGGCCGGUACGAAAGGUAGCGAAGCUGCAAAGUGAAGCUAUUCUUUUAAAGCCGGUCCCAGUUCGGAUUGGAGACUGCAACUCGUCUCCAUGAAGGUGGAAUCGCUAGUAAUCGUGGAUCAGCACGCCACGGUGAAUACGUUCCCGGGCCUUGUACACACCGCCCGUCACACCACGAAAGUCGACUGUACCAGAAGUUGCUGGGCUAACUCCGUUUACGGGGGAGCAGUACCUCGAAGGUAGGUUGGACAAUUGGGGUGAAGUCGUAACAAGGUAACCGUA